RNAcentral lists this ribosomal RNA (496 nucleotides) under uncultured bacterium. RNAcentral describes it as "partial 16S ribosomal RNA". It matches the Rfam family "Bacterial small subunit ribosomal RNA", at positions 29 to 507 of the family's 1533-position model. The record is from RNAcentral.
AUGAACGCUGGCGGCGUGCCUAAUACAUGCAAGUCGAGCGAACAGAUGAGGAGCUUGCUCCUCUGACGUUAGCGGCGGCCGGGUGAGUAACACGUGGAUAACCUACCUAUAAGACUGGGAUAACUUCGGGAAACCGGAGCUAAUCCCGGAUAAUAUAUUGAACCGCAUGGUUCAAUAGUGAAAGACGGUUUUGCUGGCACUUAUAGAUGGAUCCGCGCCGCAUUAGCUAGUUGGUACGGUAACGGCUUACCAAGGCAACGAUGCGUAGCCGACCUGAGAGGGUGAUCGGCCACACUGGAACUGAGCCACGGACCAGACUCCUACGGGAGGCAGCAGUAGGGAAUCUUCCGCAAUGGGCGAAAGCCUGACGGAGCAGCGCCGCGUGAGUGAUGAAGGUCUUCGGAUCGUAAAACUCUGUUAUUAGGGAAGAACAAAUGUGUAAGUAACUAUGCACGUCUUGACGGUACCUAAUCAGAAAGCCACGGCUAACUACGUG